UGGGGAUAUUGCACAAUGGGCGCAAGCCUGAUGCAGCGACGCCGCGUGAGGGAUGACGGCUUNNGGGUUGUAACCUCUUCGCUCUGAACAAGGCCCUGCUUGUUGGUGGGGUUGAGGUAGGUGGAUAAGAAGCGCCGGCUAACUACGUGCCAGCAGCCGCGGUAAUACGUAGGGCGCGAGCGUUGUCCGGAAUUAUUGGGCGUAAAGAGCUCGUAGGCGGCUUGUCGCGUCUGCUGUGAAAACGCGGGGCUUAACUCCGCGCGUGCAGUGGGUACGGGCAGGCUAGAGUGUGGUAGGGGUGAUUGGAAUUCCUGGUGUAGCGGUGGAAUGCGCAGAUAUCAGGAGGAACACCGAUGGCGAAGGCAGGUCACUGGGCCAUUACUGACGCUGAGGAGCGAAAGNGCAU
Molecule: ribosomal RNA, 406 nt
Filed under: uncultured bacterium
Lineage: Bacteria
Description: partial 16S ribosomal RNA
Rfam family: Bacterial small subunit ribosomal RNA
Source: RNAcentral